GCAGGACUUAGGUAAGGUGAUGCACUUUUUUGAACAAGGAAAUCUCCUUAUCUUUUUUCUCCUUUUUUUGCCAGUUUCCCAUAUAUUCCUUUUUAUUUUAUGUGCUAAUUAAAAAAAAACGAAAAGUCACGCCUAAUAAAUUGUCUUAUUUAUUCUUGCGCCUUUUCCUCCUCUUCCGCUCUUUAAUACGCCUCUUCCUCUUCUUUUGUUCUUUAAUUUUAUGAGUUACGUCCGACUCUUUUCCUUUGGAAAAAGUAACGCCUUUUCCUAGCCUCUCUUUUCUCUUUCGACCGUCAUACCUGACAAUCUCACAAUAGUCAAUAGGUAUACCUCUUUCGGCUUCAGUUAUUUUAAGAGUGGGAUUAUUCUUAUAGUGUGCAUAUUUUUCUCUUUGCUAUUGUCAAUCAGAAGAAAAUUGGGAGAUGAAAACUGAAAGAGAUAUGUAGGGAGUUUAUAAACUGUUAGGAGUAAUUUUCAGAGGGUGGCUGAAGGGGAUGAAAUAGUAGCUGAAGUAAGAGGAGAGAGGGACAAAAGAGGAGGAAAAAAAGUGAUAGGAUCGAAAAAAGCAGGUGUCAUGCGGAAGCUAGCAAAUGAAACCUUGAAUGACGAUAAAUCAUUCAACAAAA
Molecule: non-coding RNA, 626 nt
Organism: Nicotiana tabacum (common tobacco)
Lineage: Eukaryota; Viridiplantae; Streptophyta; Magnoliopsida; Solanales; Solanaceae
Source: RefSeq, a predicted model, not a curated record